RNAcentral lists this long non-coding RNA (1213 nucleotides) under Homo sapiens (human). RNAcentral's name for it is "ERICH2 divergent transcript". The record is from RNAcentral. Lineage: Eukaryota; Metazoa; Chordata; Mammalia; Primates; Hominidae.
GAGUAGCUGGGACUACAGGUGCACACCACCAUGCCCGGCUAAUUUUUGUAUUUUUAGUAGAGACGGGGUUUUGCCAUGAUGGCCAGGUUUGGUCUCAAACUCCUAACCUCAAGUGAUCCACCCUCCUCAGCCUCCCAAAGUGCUGGGAUUACAGGCGUGAGCCACUGCGCCCCGCCUACUUGAAUUUUUUUUUUUUUUUUUUUUUUUGAGACAGAGUUUUGCUCCUGUUGCCCAGGCUGGAGUGCAACGGCAUGAUCUCGACUCACUGCAACCUCUGCCUCCUGGGUUCAAGUGAUUCUCCUGCCUCAGCCUCCCAAAUAGCUGGGAUUACAGGUGCCCACCACUGUGCCUGGCUGAUUGUAUUUUUAGUAGAGAUGGGGUUUCAUCAUGUUGGUCAGGCUGGUCUUGAACUCCAGACCUCAGGUGAUCGGACUGCCUCGGCCUCCCAAAGUGCUGGGAUUACAGGCAUGACCCACUGUGCCCGGACCUGCUUGAAUUUUUAUGAUGAGCAUGUUGGCAGAUCACGACUGCCAGCUCCGUGACAGCAAGAACCUUGUAUGACUUUUUCAUGAUGGAUGUUCAUCUGUGCCAUCUGUAAAUAUUGAAUAAAUAUUUGUGGAAUACAUGAAUCUAAAAGUGAAUGGAAUGAUAAAGAGGGAAAGGGUCAUGACAUCUACUACAGCAUUUGGCACAGACCCAGGUUUCCCUGGUACUGGUAAUUCCCAGCAGCUUUCUACAAUUCCAAAGCUGUCUGCAGUACUAUCAAGAGAUGACAUGGACUUCAAGGAUCAAACAGGGGAGAAAAAGGCUUAAAAGAAAAACAAGUCUCCAUCAAAGGUAAUAACCACAAUGAGAACUAUACAUAGCUAUGUGCUUAUAGGUCUUAGUUCACAUUCCCCUCAUUAAAAUUAUAGCUCAAGAAAUAAAGGGCUGUUUAAUGACUUGGGUAUAUAAAUAUACUUCAUUUGUAUAUUUUUUACUUGCUAAAAUCUAUCCAAAUUGGUAUUACCUCAAACCAUAAUCUUCUACUGUAUUUUAUAAUUUUACUUUAUUGCCAUGUAUUUUUCCCACUGAUGUUCACAAAUUCACAGGAAACAUCAGCCAUGUACUAAAUAAAAUAUGAAUUGAAUCGACAAAUAGAACUAUAAAUUUAAUUCAAGCACAUGUAAAAUUUAGACCAAAGAAUAAAAAUGUCUAUUAAAAAUACAGCCAA